RNAcentral lists this ribosomal RNA (1436 nucleotides) under Escherichia coli 97.0003. RNAcentral's name for it is "partial 23S ribosomal RNA". The stretch from base 431 to 1436 matches the Rfam family "Bacterial small subunit ribosomal RNA", at positions 1 to 997 of the family's 1533-position model. Lineage: Bacteria; Pseudomonadati; Pseudomonadota; Gammaproteobacteria; Enterobacterales; Enterobacteriaceae. The record is from RNAcentral.
AAUAGAGAAAUAACGCUGAUGAUUGUGGAUAACUCUGUGCGUAAAAAGGUAUAAAGCGGGGUUUUGCUGGGGAAUGCAGCAGUCAGUCAUUUUUCUGCAAUUUUUCUAUUGCGGCCUGCGGAGAACUCCCUAUAAUGCGCCUCCAUCGACACGGCGGAUGUGAAUCACUUCACACAAACAGCCGGUUCGGUUGAAGAGAAAAAUUCUGAAAUUCAGGGUUGACUCUGAAAGAGGAAAGCGUAAUAUACGCCACCUCGCGACAGUGAGCUGAAAGCCGCGUCGCAACUGCUCUUUAACAAUUUAUCAGACAAUCUGUGUGGGCACUCGAAGAUACGGAUUCUUAACGUCGCAAGACGAAAAAUGAAUACCAAGUCUCAAGAGUGAACACGUAAUUCAUUACGAAGUUUAAUUCUUUGAGCAUCAAACUUUUAAAUUGAAGAGUUUGAUCAUGGCUCAGAUUGAACGCUGGCGGCAGGCCUAACACAUGCAAGUCGAACGGUAACAGGAAGAAGCUUGCUUCUUUGCUGACGAGUGGCGGACGGGUGAGUAAUGUCUGGGAAACUGCCUGAUGGAGGGGAUAACUACUGGAAACGGUAGCUAAUACCGCAUAACGUCGCAAGACCAAAGAGGGGGACCUUCGGGCCUCUUGCCAUCGGAUGUGCCCAGAUGGGAUUAGCUAGUAGGUGGGGUAACGGCUCACCUAGGCGACGAUCCCUAGCUGGUCUGAGAGGAUGACCAGCCACACUGGAACUGAGACACGGUCCAGACUCCUACGGGAGGCAGCAGUGGGGAAUAUUGCACAAUGGGCGCAAGCCUGAUGCAGCCAUGCCGCGUGUAUGAAGAAGGCCUUCGGGUUGUAAAGUACUUUCAGCGGGGAGGAAGGGAGUAAAGUUAAUACCUUUGCUCAUUGACGUUACCCGCAGAAGAAGCACCGGCUAACUCCGUGCCAGCAGCCGCGGUAAUACGGAGGGUGCAAGCGUUAAUCGGAAUUACUGGGCGUAAAGCGCACGCAGGCGGUUUGUUAAGUCAGAUGUGAAAUCCCCGGGCUCAACCUGGGAACUGCAUCUGAUACUGGCAAGCUUGAGUCUCGUAGAGGGGGGUAGAAUUCCAGGUGUAGCGGUGAAAUGCGUAGAGAUCUGGAGGAAUACCGGUGGCGAAGGCGGCCCCCUGGACGAAGACUGACGCUCAGGUGCGAAAGCGUGGGGAGCAAACAGGAUUAGAUACCCUGGUAGUCCACGCCGUAAACGAUGUCGACUUGGAGGUUGUGCCCUUGAGGCGUGGCUUCCGGAGCUAACGCGUUAAGUCGACCGCCUGGGGAGUACGGCCGCAAGGUUAAAACUCAAAUGAAUUGACGGGGGCCCGCACAAGCGGUGGAGCAUGUGGUUUAAUUCGAUGCAACGCGAAGAACCUUACCUGGUCUUGACAUCCACAGAACU